RNAcentral lists this long non-coding RNA (676 nucleotides) under Venturia canescens. RNAcentral's name for it is "uncharacterized LOC122407033, transcript variant X1". Lineage: Eukaryota; Metazoa; Arthropoda; Insecta; Hymenoptera; Ichneumonidae. The record is from RNAcentral.
UCCGCUUCUGGCUCGUUUUGUGCUUGGCGAAAAACAACUCGACCUACUAUCGGAUACCGAUAAAUAACCUCGGCUGUUAUCAUCGGCAUCUGACCAGCAUUUUGUGGCAAUUGUUUCAGGUCAGCAUUUUUCGUCAUACUUGUGAAGCACUAGAGAACGAUGAACAACGCUGUUUAUUCCUGACAAUGGUAGAUACAAGUCCCAAUAUAUUCCUGCCAGCUGUGCACUUCCGGGGAGAAUAUCGCUGUGGUACGAUCGUGAUUUUCGACCUUGGAGCUUCCCCGAAAUAUCUCCAAUUGCGUAUUGAUCCUGAGUCCCCAGUCCUGAAAGCAAAGAAUCCGAGGACCAUCCGAAGACGCCAAAAUUUAUGGAACAGUCUCACCUCGUGAAGCAAGUCCGCCCGUGUGGUGGGAGUGACACGAUGGGACCGUCAAUUUCGGAGUGGGGAAAGCUACGAUGGGCCAGACUCGAUCGAGAAUUGAACCAGCACGAGUCUUGGGAACGAUCUUGAAGUUAUCUUUGUAUCAGCUAAUCAGAAACAUUGUAAAGGAGAAAACUUUCUAAAUAUUUUUAACACCUUCGGAUGGUAACGCUUGGAGGGCGAUAAAUAGUUAAAAAACUGUAAAAAAAUAAAAUAAAAUAAAAAUGCUACAAUGUAUUUUCGACCCUUGAGAAA